AAAGUCUCACUUGACUUUUCAUUUUCUACAAACCCAUCCUCUCUCUUCAUCUUCGAAAUCUAGAGUGAGAUAGAGAGAAAAAUAAAGCUAUGUUAGCCUCUUAUCAAGCCAAGAACAGCAACCAAAAGUCAGAAUCAAAAAUCAAACUCUAAAGAGGUAUAAACCCUAAUUUUCGAAAUCCUUAGAUCUGUUGUUAGAUGUUGU
This 204-nucleotide long non-coding RNA is filed under the name Panax ginseng (ginseng). Its description in RNAcentral is "long non-coding RNA (PGIN_LNC009468)". The record is from RNAcentral. Lineage: Eukaryota; Viridiplantae; Streptophyta; Magnoliopsida; Apiales; Araliaceae.